GGCGUUCUCGAUCACCCUGUGCAGAAAGAUUCACAGGUUCAGGAAAUGUCUAUUCACCCUGGUCCAUGUUGCAUGCAAUGUUUCAUGAGAGGAUCUCAUCAGUCCUUCCCAUUCCUUCAUGGCUUUAUCUUUGCUAAUUAGAUGGGGCCACAGACGAUGGAUGCUAUACAUAAUGAUAACACAUUGGCUUGUUUUUUCAAUCAUCUGGACAACCUAACUCACCAUUUCUGAGGACUGAACAGAAAAUCAUCUCAUAAUUUCAUAAGAAUUGUUUGUUACAUGAACAGUGUUGGGACCCAGCCCCCCCAGGGUCUCUAAGAGUUGUUUUCCAGCAUAACCACAGGUACCUCCUGUUUUCCUGACCUCAUCCCACUGGGAUCAAUAUCCUGUUGUGAACCCUUUGACCUGGGGUUUUUGUAAGUUUGUAUAUAAGGCUGUUCCACAAUAAAGAUGAGAGUCAUUCUCUCAGAAAGUGGACCAGGCGUCUUGUGGUUCAUCCAAAU
Molecule: long non-coding RNA, 503 nt
Filed under: Cricetulus griseus (Chinese hamster)
Lineage: Eukaryota; Metazoa; Chordata; Mammalia; Rodentia; Cricetidae
Description: lncRNA (ENSCGRG00015038495.1)
Source: RNAcentral